AGAGAGAGAGAGAGAGAGAGCACAUAUUGCAUGUGAUGCGUGGAUAAACAAGAACCAGAGAAAUUCAGAUAAGUGGAAAUGGCGUGUAUAGAAGCAGAAAAAAUGAUCACUCAAAGCUCAGGAUAAAGAAAACGAUGUAAAAAUAACAAUAAUACAAGAACUUUCUUGCACCACUAAUCAUUCCUCAGUUCACUCGCUUUCCCCUGUUAUAUAUGGCUUUCAUAAUUUUUCGUUGUCGGUGAAUCUAUAUUGCUUUCAUUUCAUUGUCUUGUCUCGCGUACAACUCUAGAACUGCGUGUUCUAAAAGUUUUGCACUUCAUUUUGUUUUCUGGGUUUGC
Molecule: unclassified non-coding RNA, 338 nt
Filed under: Hevea brasiliensis (rubber tree)
Lineage: Eukaryota; Viridiplantae; Streptophyta; Magnoliopsida; Malpighiales; Euphorbiaceae
Source: RNAcentral